RNAcentral lists this ribosomal RNA (380 nucleotides) under uncultured eukaryote. RNAcentral's name for it is "partial 18S ribosomal RNA". It matches the Rfam family "Eukaryotic small subunit ribosomal RNA", at positions 592 to 976 of the family's 1831-position model. The record is from RNAcentral.
CAAUAGCGUAUAUUAAAGUUGUUGCAGUUAAAAAGCUCGUAGUUGGAUUUGUGGCGUACGGUGUGUUCCGGGCACUUGUUGUCUGAGUAACCUGCUGUUGCCAUCCUUGGGUGGAACCUGUGUGGCAUUAGGUUGUCGUGCAGGGGAUGCCCAUCAUUUACUGUGAAAAAAUUAGAGUGUUCAAAGCAGGCUUAUGCCGUUGAAUAUAUUAGCAUGGAAUAAUGAGAUAGGACUUUUUUGCUAUUUUGUUGGUUUGCGCAAAGAGGUAAUGAUUAAUAGGGACAGUUGGGGGUAUUCGUAUUCCAUUGUCAGAGGUGAAAUUCUUGGAUUUAUGGAAGACGAACUACUGCGAAAGCAUUUACCAAGGAUGUUUUCAUUAA